Molecule: long non-coding RNA, 1556 nt
Organism: Hordeum vulgare subsp. vulgare (domesticated barley)
Lineage: Eukaryota; Viridiplantae; Streptophyta; Magnoliopsida; Poales; Poaceae
Exons: 2
Source: RefSeq, a predicted model, not a curated record
UAUAUUAUAUCACACAUAUGUUCUGUAAUACAAGGUACUCCGCAGAACUACAGUAUUUGAAGACACAAAUACUAAAACUAACAAGUUCUAAAACAGAUUAAUGCUACUAAAUAGCACUGUUAACAGGACAAAUUUACAAAAUCUCCGAAACUGAAGGAUGAUGUUCAAAUAUUGGCUUGGACCACUGAAUAAGCCUGCUUUGCUAAUUCUAGCAACCGCAAGGACCUUAGUGCAAAGAGGCGAAGAGAUAAGGCUUAUCUUCUUCCUCUGAGCGGUUGCCAAUUGAGAGAAAUCCCAAAGGCUGCUCCGCUCACCUCCACUUAGAGAAAGUACAGUAAGGUACAGUGAGCAGGCUGUAAGGAUUAAAAUACUAUAUUUUUGCUGAGUUGGAUGAGAGAGAAGAGGAGAGAUAAGGGAAGCGCGCUCUUCGUGAAGAGCUAGCUCUAGCACGUACUCCUAGGUGCUUUGUGAGAAUGAAAGGUGGGCCAUAUGAUAGAAGUAGUACUUUUUUAUAACUAACUAUUGUACAAACUAGCUAUAAGAUGCUUAUAGCCAGCAGUUUGCUAUAGUAUUAACCAUGCUCUUAGAGGAGUCACGGCCUUAGCCGUGCGCCAAUGCCACGUGGCCGGGCGGAUGGAGUGAGCACCGACGCGCCUCGCAUUGGAGGCCGUGAAGGCACCGCGAGAAGGGCUUGUGUGCCGUGGUGGCGCUCCGUCAGUGAGAGGAGCGACGUCUCACGCCCCUCAGGGGCCGGAGAGCCAGCCAAGGGCCUUCGCCUCGGGCUCCACCAACGUGCGUGGAUGCGAGCCGAGGGCCGCUCCGCGUCAGUUGCCAGGAAGGCCCUGCCGAGGAGCCGUAGCGGGGCCGUGAGGACGUGGCCGCGGGCAGCCAUAGGCGGCCGCUACUGCCGUGCGCCAGGGCCCGCAUAGGGUAGCCAAGCGAGAGGGGGAUGCGCAAGAGAAGGCGGCAUCUCCUGCGAUGCGAGUGGCCGAGCCGUGUCGGUACGCUGUGUCGUGUGUAAAACGACGAGGACGAACGACCUCCUGAAGGAUAUCGAGGAGAAGUGGCGUAAGGACCGUACCUUUCCUAUUCUUCUCUUCUAUUUUUUGCUAUUGGUGGAGGCCAAAGCCUGAUUUUCCUCCUUCCCAGUUCUUCAAUUCAUGGCGUGUGUCUCAUCCUGCCAAUCUUAUUCUAAUUAAGAUGCAUACACGCCGAUCCCUUUUCCAUGAACGGACUGCUUCAUCGUCUUCUUUCUUUUAUCUGAUCUGGGCAGCAGGCUCCAAUGCCGUAGAUGGGUGGAGCCUCGCCAGGCGCAAAGACGGGGCCGCCGAGCAUUCUGUGGUGCCACAAACAUGCGUCGGCCACAGCCUUGCCUCCCUCCCUCGCUUUCUUUUGGCCAAAUCGCUCUCUGCCGGAGCCCGUUCCGGCGAUUGUCGGCAUUUUUUGUUCUCGAUAGAGGCAGUGCUGAUAACGUGUUAGAUCGGAAAGUAAUUGAGAGAAUGAAUGAGUAAUCUUUAUUGAUCGUUUUGGAUCCUUUAUAUACAACAUUUACACAA